CUACUGCGCUUGAGCGACAGCCAUUAAAGAUGUCCUGUGGCUCCUGUCAGUUUUCAGUAGUUGAAGGUGAAGUUGGCUCGUUGUUUGUUUAUCCUUUAUUUUAUCGCGUCAUCAAGUUGAUGAUGAUUUUUGAUUGCUGAAGGUCUUAAAUUAAGACGAAGGUGGGAAUAGAACUGCAGAUACAUAUUAUACUAAAAUCCACCAUGACAGAUGAAUAUGAUGCCAAGGAUUAGAUUUGAAAAAAGUUCUUCUCCUCUCUACAUUUGAUGAAAGCCAUUUUCAGCAAAGGUGGGAAUAGAACUGCAGACGCAUAUACCAAAAUCCACCAUGACAGACGAAUAUGCUGCCAACUACAGUUUUAGAUUUAAAACUCCUUUCUACAUCUGAUGGAAACCAUUUUCAGACCAAGAGCAGAGAGACUACGCCUCAUGAAGCUCAAAUCGAGGACGAUAGCAGUUCAAAGUAAAAAUAUAUAAUUAGUUAUAAAUUGAAAGUUCAAUUUUUGUAAUAUUUAAUAAAAAUCAUUGCAUUUUAUUGAAAA
Molecule: long non-coding RNA, 541 nt
Organism: Nilaparvata lugens (brown planthopper)
Lineage: Eukaryota; Metazoa; Arthropoda; Insecta; Hemiptera; Delphacidae
Exons: 4
Source: RefSeq, a predicted model, not a curated record